This is a non-coding RNA of Nicotiana tabacum (common tobacco), 483 nucleotides long. The record is from RefSeq and is a predicted model, not a curated record. Lineage: Eukaryota; Viridiplantae; Streptophyta; Magnoliopsida; Solanales; Solanaceae.
ACAUUUUUGCUUGUGCAGGUCUUGUUCCCUUGCCUGCGUUGAGUGUCCAAUCUGUCGGACAAAAAUUGCAGAUAGGAUUUUUGCUUUUACUUGAUUUUGUGCUUCACCUGCUUGGAAUGAUGGUGCACGAAAGGGGUUCGUUUAUUCUUGUCAACUUGCUAUUUUCUAUGAUAUUCUUUAAUUAGUUCAACUGUAUGUAAAGUUCCUGCAACGCUAUUCAAAUGCUAUAUCAUUUUUUUCCUGUGUACUUAACCAAGGAACUGUAGAAUAAGAAACAAAGCAACAGAGGAAAGAGAAAAGGUUGGAAAUUAGUAAAUCUGAAGUUCAGGGGGUUUCCAUAUGAUCCUCUUGAUCGUCAAAUGUAAUGUAUAGAUAGAACAAAUAAGCAAAUACAAGAUGCCAUGUUAUUGUUGUAUUGUCUGUAAAUAUUUCUAAACGUCAAUUAUAUCAAAUGAGGAAGAUUUGAUAAACUGAUUCAUGAAA